CUGAUGCUGGGAGGGAUUGGGGGCAGGAGGAGAAGGAGACGACAGAGGAUGAGAUGGCUGGAUGGCAUCACUGACUCGAUGGACUUGUGGAAGCUGAGGUCCCAAGGUCUAGCGAGUCCAGAAAUGUGAUUGUAAAAGGGACAGUUACUACAGCUGUUUUUGAGCGUCCUGGAAAGUGAAAGUGUUAGUCACUCAGUCGUGUCCGACCCUUUGUGACCCCGUGGACAGAUGGAAUUCUCCAGGAAAGAGUACUGAAGUGGAUUGCCAUUUCCUUCUCCAAGGACCCCUUCAUAAGUGGUGGGAUAUAGAGAGUUGCAAUAGGGGUGAUAUCUCUGGGCAAGGCGAGCACAAAGAAAUUAUUCUUUGAAAGGCCAUCAAGAAGCUCAGCUUUUACUGGGUAGGAGCAGGUAUGCGUAUCUAAUUUGUUAUGAUAUGAUGCGAUAAUGACUCUGAUAGUAACAAAAUUCUAUAGGAGUAAAAAGUAACUGCC
Molecule: long non-coding RNA, 490 nt
Organism: Bos taurus (domestic cattle)
Lineage: Eukaryota; Metazoa; Chordata; Mammalia; Artiodactyla; Bovidae
Source: Ensembl